Molecule: ribosomal RNA, 2944 nt
Filed under: Candidatus Uhrbacteria bacterium GW2011_GWB2_41_36
Lineage: Bacteria; Candidatus Uhriibacteriota
Also listed under: 2 other names
Description: bacterial LSU rRNA
Rfam family: Bacterial large subunit ribosomal RNA
Source: RNAcentral
CAAGGGUGUAUGGUGGAUGGCUUGACAAAACAUGCUGAUGAAGGACGUAGCAGUCUGCGAUAAGCUUCGGUGAGGUGACAAGCAACCUUUGACCCGGAGAUGUCCGAAUGGGGAAACCCGGCUGGGGUAAUGCCCAGUCACUGUGCACUAAAUACAUAGGUGUACAGGAGGCACCCAGGGAAGUGAAACAUCUCAGUACCUGGAGGAAAAGAAAAUAACGAGUACUAUUCUCAUCUUGACGCUCGACCUAGUCGAGAAUCGAGAUGACGAAUAGUUGCUUACAUUCCCAAAGUAGUGGCGAGCGAAAUGGGAUCAGCCUAAACCAACCAAGUGAAAUACGCUGAAGUAUCUCUUCGGAUGAUCUUUAGUGGAAUCUUCUGGAAAGAAGAACCAAAGAAGGUGAUAGUCCUGUACGCAAAAAGGAUGCAUCUACAUACGGUCUGGCACUUAAGUACGGCGGGACACGUGAAAUCCUGUCGGAAUCUGCCGCGACUAUGCGGCAAGGCUAAAUACAUGUUUUGAUCGAUAGUGUACUAGUACCGUGAGGGAAAGCUGAAAAGAACCCCGAGAGGGGAGUGAAAUAGAAUCUGAAACCAUAUACCUACAAAGAGUCGGAGCUCUGCCUUCGGGCGGGGUGACGGCGUUCCUAUUGAAGAAUGAGCCAACGAGUUCGUGUCUGUUGCAGGUUAAGUCCUUCGGGAUGGAGCCAAAGUGAAAGCAAGCCUUAACGGGCGUUUGUAUCAGACAUGAGACCCGAAACCGAGUGACCUAACCAUGGCCAGGGUGAAGCCAGUGUAAAAGCUGGUGGAGGCCCGAACCCACGUGCCGUGCAAAACACGGGGAUGAGCUGUGGUUAGCGGAGAAAUUCCAAUCGAACUCGGUAAUAGCUGGUUCUCCUCGAAAUAUGUUUAGGCAUAGCGUCGGUUAAUAGCGUGUUGGGGGUAGAGCACUGAUUGGGAUUGGCGCCUUCGGGUAGCCGUCCUAGCCAAACUCCGAAUACCAAUACGCGUUCCCGGCAGUCAGACCAUGGGGGCGAAGCUCCAUUGGUCAAAAGGGAAAGAACCCUGAUCUCAAGCUAAGGUCCCAAAGUGAUUACUAAGUGUAAAAGGUGGUGGGGAGACUUAUACAACCAGGAGGUUGGCUUAGAAGCAGCCAUCCUUUAAAGAUAGCGUAACAGCUCACUGGUCAAGUUUCCCUGCGCCGAAAAUAUACCGGGGCUAAGUAAUUCACCGAAGCUGAGGGUGUGAUGUUUCUUCGGAAACAUUACGCGGUAGAGGAGCAUUCCUAUUGCGCUGAAGUUGAGUCGUAAGGCUUGGUGGAGCGAUAGGAAGUGAGAAUGUUGGCAUGAGUAGCAUAAAGACAGGUGAGAACCCUGUCCGUCGAAAGCCCAAGGUUUCCACAGUAACGAAAAUCGUCUGUGGGUUAGUCGGGUGCUAAGGCGAGGCCGAAAGGCGUAGUCGAUGCACAGCAGGUUAAUAUUCCUGCACCGCGUUAUUGUUCUAAUGGGGGGACGUUUACCAAAGUUUCCUGUGUCCUAUGGCUAUGACACUGGGGGCUUGGGGUGGACUGGUAGGAAAAUCCGCCAGUCACAACACUCUGAGUCAUCGCGACCCCGCUUUUGCGGGGGAGAGGAAAGGAUGGUGAACCAAGAAAAGCCUCUAGGGUUAACAAUAAUGCGCCCGUACCAAAUCCGACACAGGUAGGCGGGUGUAAAUGCACUAAGACGUACGAGAGAAACAUUGUUAGGGAACUCGGCAAAACAGCGGCCGUAACUUCGGGAUAAGGCCUGGUUUUCCUCGGGAGAGGAAGACCCACAGCUAAUGACUACAAGCGACUGUUUAUCAAAAACACAGGUCCCUGCUAAACCGUAAGGUGAUGUAUAGGGGCUGAUGCCUGGCCAGUGUCCGAACGUUAAAGAAGUGGGUUAUCCCGCCUUUGGGCGGGAAAAGCUUGCGACUGAAGCGCGGAUGAACGCCGGCCGUAACUAUAACGGUCCUAAGGUGUGAGGAAACAAAAAGAGCGAAAUUCCUUGUCGGGUGAGUUCCGACCUGCACGAAUGGCAUAACGACUUGUAGACUGUCCCAACAAUGUACUCGGCGAAAUUGCGUGGGGAGUGAAGAUGCUCUCUAUGCGUAGUUGGACGAAAAGACCCCGUGAAGCUUUACUACAACUUGUCAUUGGAUUUAUGUUUCACAUGUUCAGCAUAGGUGGGAGCCCUCGGGCACCAGUGAGAUACCACCCUUGUGUUGUGUGAAUUCUAACCGGCAGCCAUGAAUCUGGCAGCUGGGACAGUGACUGGUGGGUAGUUUUACUGGGGCGGUAGCCUCCCAAAAAGUAACGGAGGCGUUUACAAAGGUUGGCUUAGCCCGGAUGGAAAUCGGGCUGAAUGUGCAAGCGCAGAAGCCAGCUUUACUGCAAGACUGACGCGUCGCGCAGUUGCGAAAGCAGAAGCUAGUGAUCCGACCGUUCGAUAUAGGACGGCGGAAGCUCAACGGAUAAAAGCUACUCCGGGGAUAACAGGCUAGUCUUGCCCAAGCGUCCACAGCGACGGCAAGGUUCGGCACCUCGAUGUCGGCUCAUCGCAUCCUGGGGGUGAAGAAGCUCCCAAGGGUUAGGCUGUUCGCCUAUUAAAGCGGUACGCGAGCUGGGUUCAGAACGUCGUGAGACAGUUCGGUCUCCUAUCCACUACGCACGUUGAAGAUUGAAAGGACUCAUCCCUAGUACGAGAGGACCGGGAUGAACUGACCUCUGGUGUACCAGUUGUUCCGCCUGGAGCAUGGCUGGGUAGCUACGUCGGGUUCGGAUAACCGCUGAAAGCAUCUAAGCGGGAAGUCGACCUUAAGAUUAAUCUUCUUAGACACCUCAGAGACUAUGAGGUUGAUAGGCACUAGGUGUAAGCUCGGUAACGAGUUCAGCCAAGGUGUACUAAUUGGUCAUAUGGCUC